RNAcentral lists this transfer RNA (76 nucleotides) under Corynebacterium pseudotuberculosis. Its description in RNAcentral is "tRNA-Arg". The stretch from base 15 to 76 matches the Rfam family "tRNA", at positions 1 to 60 of the family's 71-position model. From Rfam's summary of the family: Transfer RNA (tRNA) molecules are approximately 80 nucleotides in length. Their secondary structure includes four short double-helical elements and three loops (D, anti-codon, and T loops). Further hydrogen bonds mediate the characteristic L-shaped molecular structure. tRNAs have two regions of fundamental functional importance: the anti-codon, which is responsible for specific mRNA codon recognition, and the 3' end, to which the tRNAs corresponding amino acid is attached (by aminoacyl-tRNA synthetases). tRNAs cope with the degeneracy of the genetic code in two manners: having more than one tRNA (with a specific anti-codon) for a particular amino acid; and 'wobble' base-pairing, i.e. permitting non-standard base-pairing at the 3rd anti-codon position. The record is from RNAcentral. Lineage: Bacteria; Bacillati; Actinomycetota; Actinomycetes; Mycobacteriales; Corynebacteriaceae.
GCAACGAAGACACUGCGCCCGUAGCUCAACGGAUAGAGCAUCUGACUACGGAUCAGAAGGUUGGGGGUUCGAAUCC